Molecule: long non-coding RNA, 1164 nt
Organism: Clupea harengus (Atlantic herring)
Lineage: Eukaryota; Metazoa; Chordata; Actinopteri; Clupeiformes; Clupeidae
Source: Ensembl
CAAAAACCUAUCCAGAUCCAUAUAAAAGUACAUCAUGUAUGUUUUGUGGUUUUGUACUCAAAAGUACAUCAUGUAUGUUUUGUGGUGGUGUGUGGUGGGGUGUGGAGGUGGUGUAGUGGGGUGUGGAGGUGGUGUAGUGGGGUGUGGAGGUGGUGUAGUGGGGUGUAGUGGUGUGUGGAGGUGUGUAGUGGGGUGUAGUGGUGUGUGGAGGUGUGUAGUGGUGUGUGGAGGUGGGGUGUGGAGGUGGUGUAGUGGUGUGUGGAGGUGUGUGGAGGUGGUGUAGUGGGGUGUGGAGGCGUGUGGAGGUGUUGUAGUGGGGUGUGGAGGUGGUGUAGUGGUGUGUGGAGGCGUGUGGAGGGGUGUGGAGGUGGUGUAGUGGUGUGUGGAGGUGGUGUAGUGGUGUGUGGAGGUGUGUGGAGGUGUGUAGUGGUGUGUGGAGGUGGUGUAGUGGUGUGUGGAGGUGUGUAGUGGGGUGUGGAGGUGGUGUAGUGGGGUGUGGAGGUGGUGUAGUGGUGUGUGGAGGUGGUGUAGUGGUGUGUGGAGGUGUGUGGUGGGGUGUGGAGGUGGUGUAGUGGUGUGUGGAGGUGUGUAGUGGUGUGUGGAGGUGGUGCAGUGGUGUGUGGAGGCGUGUGGAGGUGGUGUAGUGGUGUGUGGAGGUGGUGUAGUGGUUUGUGGAGGCGUGUGGAGGUGGUGUAGUGGUGUGUGGAGGUGUGUAGUGGUGUGUGGAGGCGUGUAGUGGUGUGUGGAGGUGGUGUAGUGGGGUGUGGAGGUGGUGUAGUGGUGUGUGGAGGUGUGUGGAGGUGGUGUAGUGGGGUGUGGAGGCGUGUGGAGGUGUUGUAGUGGGGUGUGGAGGUGUUGUAGUGGGGUGUGGAGGUGGUGUAGUGGUGUGUGGAGGCGUGUGGAGGGGUGUGGAGGUGGUGUAGUGGUGUGUGGAGGUGGUGUAGUGGUGUGUGGAGGUGUGUGGUGGUGUGUGGAGGUGUGUAGUGGUGUGUGGAGGUGGUGUAGUGGUGUGUGGAGGUGUGUAGUGGGGUGUGGAGGUGGUGUAGUGGGGUGUGGAGGCGUGUGGAGGUGGUGUAGUGGUGUGUGGAGGUGUGUGGUGGUGUGUGGAGGUGUGUAGUGGUGUGUGGAGGUGGUGUAGUGGUGUGUGGAGGUGUGUAGUGGUGU